UCAGCAUGGCCCUUACGGCCUGGGCGACACACGUGCUACAACGCCCACUACAAAGCGAUGCCACCCGGCAACGGGGAGCUAAUCGCAAAAAGGUGGGCCCAGUUCGGAUUGGGGUCUGCAACCCGACCCCAUGAAGCCGGAAUCGCUAGUAAUCGCGGAUCAGCCAUGCCGCGGUGAAUACGUUCCCGGGCCUU
RNAcentral lists this ribosomal RNA (194 nucleotides) under uncultured Thermus sp. RNAcentral describes it as "partial 16S ribosomal RNA". It matches the Rfam family "Bacterial small subunit ribosomal RNA", at positions 1190 to 1382 of the family's 1533-position model. The record is from RNAcentral. Lineage: Bacteria; Thermotogati; Deinococcota; Deinococci; Thermales; Thermaceae.